RNAcentral lists this transfer RNA (69 nucleotides) under Marmota marmota marmota (Alpine marmot). It matches the Rfam family "tRNA". Rfam says of the family: Transfer RNA (tRNA) molecules are approximately 80 nucleotides in length. Their secondary structure includes four short double-helical elements and three loops (D, anti-codon, and T loops). Further hydrogen bonds mediate the characteristic L-shaped molecular structure. tRNAs have two regions of fundamental functional importance: the anti-codon, which is responsible for specific mRNA codon recognition, and the 3' end, to which the tRNAs corresponding amino acid is attached (by aminoacyl-tRNA synthetases). tRNAs cope with the degeneracy of the genetic code in two manners: having more than one tRNA (with a specific anti-codon) for a particular amino acid; and 'wobble' base-pairing, i.e. permitting non-standard base-pairing at the 3rd anti-codon position. Lineage: Eukaryota; Metazoa; Chordata; Mammalia; Rodentia; Sciuridae. The record is from Rfam by way of RNAcentral. RNAcentral also lists the same sequence under 2 other names.
GGGAUUGUGGCUCAGUGGUAGAGCACUUGCCUGGCAUGUGUGAGGCACUGGGUUCAAUCCUCAGCACCA